ACUUCUCUCCGAGCAAAAGCAUCUAAGGAUCCGUCUAUGAUGCUGCGCCUGGAAUCGAGAGAUCCCACAGGGUGACCGUGGAAACGCGGCUGCCUCCCAUUUUUGAAAAGGAGAACGA
Molecule: non-coding RNA, 118 nt
Filed under: bovine gut metagenome
Description: Moco (molybdenum cofactor) riboswitch
Rfam family: Molybdenum/Tungsten riboswitch aptamer (Moco RNA motif)
Source: RNAcentral